RNAcentral lists this non-coding RNA (246 nucleotides) under Clostridium fallax. Its description in RNAcentral is "T-box sequence". It matches the Rfam family "T-box leader". Rfam says of the family: Uncharged tRNA acts as the effector for transcription antitermination of genes in the T-box leader family. The record is from RNAcentral. Lineage: Bacteria; Bacillati; Bacillota; Clostridia; Eubacteriales; Clostridiaceae.
UAAAAUGCAAUGAAAAGAAGAGUAGCAAAAAAGUAUGUUUAAAAGAGAGCUGGGAAAGGUGAAAGCCAGUAACAGAUGAUUUUGUGAAGAUGGCCUUUGAGCAUAUUCUCUGAACUAAUUUAGGAGAAUACAGUUACACCUGUUAUAGUGUACAGUAAUAAAUGCCUUAUGCAGAGUUACUUAGUGAUUUAAUUAUAGUGAUAUAAUUAUAAAAUAGAGUGGUACAGCGUUUAAUACGCCUCUAUG